This 1006-nucleotide long non-coding RNA is filed under the name Equus caballus (horse). RNAcentral's name for it is "lncRNA (ENSECAG00000029095.2)". The record is from RNAcentral. Lineage: Eukaryota; Metazoa; Chordata; Mammalia; Perissodactyla; Equidae.
GGUGAGUCCAGGCAGUCUUCAUCAACAUGUAGCAAAAGAAGCUGCAGGGCCUUGGACACCAAAAAAGCUGUAAGGUCUUAUGGAGCUGAAAAGAGCUACUGAUUACCUAACCCUGUUCUGCACGUUAUCGUCUGAAUCUGACUGAGCACUGACUGAAUCUGCUGAGCAUCCUGCACCACCCGAUACUGCCUAGGGGAGAAGGAAGACUCAGGUUCUCAGGGAGCUGAUGAUCAAUCUGUGCCUUGGCUGGCCUGCCACCCAUCUCUGAGUCCCUCGUCCUUGCCAGGCGGCCCUGCGGAAGGGGCUCACCGCGAGCCAGGAGCAGACACCCUCUCGCCCUCUUGGGAAAGCGGAUCAGGCCGGCUUCUGGGGCGCUCCCUGCACCCCGCCACCUUCUGGGACCUCCGCUGAGAGCCGCGCUUGGGGCACCGCCGGGCCAGCCUCCAACCCCGCCCCCGACAAGGCAGAGCCCGAGACACACGUAGGCCUUUUGUUGUCUCUCUUCUGCUAACUGGCCAGUACUGGGCUGCAUUUCUGUGGCUUCAUUAGAAAGGACUUUGGGAUUAAGAAUCCCAUAAAAAUGGAAAUCAUUUUAUCGAAAGGAAAAAAAUGCAAGUAUGUAUGAGAUGAUGAGAAAUUUCAUACAAGCUCUCAAUAUUAUUGCAUAUGCUCUUUUUACUGGGUGUGUAUGAUAGGUGACAAAUAUGGACACUUGCUUUCUUAUUGGCAUGGUCCUGGAUUGACGCCUGUAAUACUUCAUUACUGGAUUAUCUCCACAGUUCUCUAACUGGUCCUCCACCUCUAGUCUUGCUUUGCUGUCACACUGUUCAAAAUACACUGCAGGAUACUACCACAUACCUAGAUAAAGGCUAAAAUGAAAAAGACAAUACCGAAGUUGGCAAGGAUGUGGGGCAACUGGAACUUCUUAGACUGCUGGUGGGAGCGUGAAUGGGAACAGGUCCUGGGAGAAAUGUUUAGCAGUAUCAACUAAAGGUGAAGAGCAGCC